Molecule: ribosomal RNA, 492 nt
Filed under: uncultured bacterium
Lineage: Bacteria
Description: partial 16S ribosomal RNA
Rfam family: Bacterial small subunit ribosomal RNA
Source: RNAcentral
AUUGAACGCUGGCGGCAUGCUUUACACAUGCAAGUCGAACGGUAACGGGCCUUCGGGUGCUGACGAGUGGCGAACGGGUGCGUAAUGCAUCGGAACGUACCCAGAGGUGGGGGAUAACGCAGCGAAAGCUGUGCUAAUACCGCAUGUGAUCUGAGGAUGAAAGCGGGGGACCGCGCAGCAAUGUUUGGCCUCGCGCCUUUGGAGCGGCCGAUGUCGGAUUAGCUAGUUGGUGGGGUAAAGGCCUACCAAGGCGACGAUCCGUAGCUGGUCUGAGAGGACGACCGGCCACACUGGGACUGAGACACGGCCCAGACUCCUACGGGAGGCAGCAGUGGGGAAUUUUGGACAAUGGGCGCAAGCCUGAUCCAGCAAUGCCGCGUGCGUGAAGAAGGCCUUCGGGUUGUAAACCGCUUUUGGCAGGAACGAAACGGUGUCCGCUAAUACCGGGCGCUAAUGACGGUACCUGCAGAAUAAGCACCGGCUAACUACGUG